GGCCGUCCGCGAGACCUACGGAGACCUUGUGUCUCCGAGGAAACUCCGCCCUCGCCACGGCACCUGGCUCCGUAAGGAGAGCGGCUGAGAGCCGCUGGAUCGGCACAGAAAUGAACGGUCUGAGAGAGAUGUAGAUGAUGGAGCUGGUCUCCUGAUGAUCUCUCAGAUGCGGUGAGACAGCCGAUCCCCAGGAGAGCAAGGCCGAAUAGUGCCGAUGAAUGCCGUGGUGAGGCACAGGUAGGCCGCUUAGCCUAAUGUCCCUAAGACAGAAGGCGGGUUAUGCGAACGGCC
This 291-nucleotide RNase P RNA is filed under the name Acidilobales archaeon. RNAcentral's name for it is "RNase P RNA component". It matches the Rfam family "Archaeal RNase P". Rfam says of the family: Ribonuclease P (RNase P) is a ubiquitous endoribonuclease, found in archaea, bacteria and eukarya as well as chloroplasts and mitochondria. The record is from RNAcentral. Lineage: Archaea; Thermoproteati; Thermoproteota; Thermoprotei; Acidilobales.